This 1346-nucleotide ribosomal RNA is filed under the name Tylostega tylostegalis. RNAcentral's name for it is "16S ribosomal RNA". Lineage: Eukaryota; Metazoa; Arthropoda; Insecta; Lepidoptera; Crambidae. The record is from RNAcentral.
AGGGGAAAAUUAAUAAUUUUAUAAUAAUAAAAAUAAUUUUAAUAUUUAAAUUGGGGGGUUUAGUAUUAAUAAAGAAAUAAUUAUAAAAUUUAUAGAAAAUUAGUAUUGUAAAAGAAAUUUUAAAUAAUUGAAAAAAAAAAUUAAUGAAAAGUAAAUUUAUAUUAUUGUAUCUUGUGUAUCAGAGUUUAUUAAAUAUAAUUUUAGUUAAAAAUAUUUCUCAAAUUUAAAAGAGAUAAUUAAUUAAAAAAGUUAUUGUUGCAUAAAUAUUUUUAAUAAUUAAUUUGAAAUGAAAUGUUAAUCGUUUUUAAAUAUAUUUAGUUUUUUUAGAAAAAAAUUUAAUUUUAUUUUUUUUUUAUGACAAAUUAAUUAAUUAAUUUGUCAUAAAAAAAAAAUUAUAUUUUAAGGGAUAAGCUUUAAUUUAAAUAAUUAUAAUUAUUUUUAAAAUUAAUAAGAUUUUUAAAAUUUAUAUUGUUUAUAAUUUUUAAUUUAUUAUAAAUAAUCUAAAAUUAAUAAUAAAAUUUAAAAAUAAUUUAAUUUUUUAUAAAAAAAUAAUUUUUAAUUUAAUAAAAUUAGUUAUAAUGAUAAAAUUAGUAUUAAAUUUUAAAUUAAAUUAUUAUUUAAUUGUAGAAGUAAAUAAAAAGAAUUCGGCAAAAAUUUAUAUUCACUUGUUUAUCAAAAACAUGUCUUUUUGAAAAUAAUUAAAAGUCUAAUCUGCCCACUGAUAAUAAUUAAAGGGCUGCAGUAUAUUGACUGUACAAAGGUAGCAUAAUCAAUAGUCUUUUGAUUGAAGACUUGUAUGAAAGAUUGAAUGAAAUAUAAACUGUUUCUUAUUUAAAAAAAGAAAUUAAUUUUUUGAUUAAAAAGUCAAAAUAAUUUUAAAAGACGAGAAGACCCUAUAGAGUUUUAUAAAUUUAUAAUUAAGAUUAUAUAUAAAUUUAUAAGUUAAAAUUAAAAAAUUUAUUUUGUUGGGGUGAUAAAAAAAUUAAUUAAACUUUUUUUAAAAUUUUACAUAAAUAAAUGAUAAAAUGAUCCAAAAUUUUUGAUUAAAAGAAAAAAUUACCUUAGGGAUAACAGCGUAAUUUUUUCUUUUAGUACAAAUAAGAGAAAAAGUUUGCGACCUCGAUGUUGGAUUAAGAUAAAAUUUAAAUGCAAAAGUUUAAAAAGUUUGAUCUGUUCGAUCAUUAAAAUCUUACAUGAUCUGAGUUCAAACCGGUGUGAGCCAGGUUGGUUUCUAUCUUUAAAUAAUUAAAAUAUUUUAGUACGAAAGGAAUAAAUAUUUAAAUUAAAUUUAUAUUUAAUGAAUGUUAUUAAUUUAUAUUUAAAUUUUAAAUAAAUAUUAUUUUAAA